Molecule: long non-coding RNA, 420 nt
Organism: Ostrea edulis (European flat oyster)
Lineage: Eukaryota; Metazoa; Mollusca; Bivalvia; Ostreida; Ostreidae
Exons: 2
Source: RefSeq, a predicted model, not a curated record
GGAACUGGGAGGUGGAAAUAAGGCACUUCGAAAGGAGGAUUCUGCUGCAGUAUAUGGACUGUACCCUGUCUGGAACCCCAAAGCAGGAGAAGGCUGCUGAUCACAUGACUUGUCCUCUUUUUGAGGACUUGAAUUAAGGUAUGGGUAUAGCUGGCAAUGUCUGAUAGGAAAGUUAGACUGGUUUGCUGAUUACUGGGUGAAUUUGGGUGGAUGAUAGCAUUGUCACCUGCAGCACUGCCACAGAAGGCAUGCCUGAGAGUAAUGACCCCAGCACACCUCCUUGUAGCAGUUAGGAACUUUGAAUUAUCUCCUGCACUGUAGUGACAGAUACUCACCAGCACACAGAAGAAGAGUGAAUUCAAUGGAACCUUGAAAUUGAGUCUGAAUCUCUCUUAUAAUAAAACUUGAUUUCUUAUUUUG